UGGAUUUUGUAGACGAGAAACAAUCGAGACAAGAAGCACCUCUUUAGUGACUCAGACACAGAAAACAGAGGGGAUGACAGCAAAACAGAGAUUAGUUGGCUGCAGGAAUCCAAGAGGAAACCUAAAGCCCAGAUCAUUGAUUACAGUAGAAGUAAAAAAUCAGGGAAACUAAUGGGCACAAACAAAACAGCGAGAAAAUCCUUGGAACCUGCUUUCUACAUGGAAAAAGCUAAAGGCAAAAAUACAAAUAGGAGAAAGACAAACAAAUGUAAACCCCAGAAUUCAAAAACAGAUGAAAUGAUAGUAAAAUCCACCAGAGAAAAACUCCCUCGAAGAGCAGCAGCAACAAAAAAUUACAAAGAACCUUCCAGUUCUGAGUCUGAGAGUGAAGUCAGGAUUCCAACAUGCACCUCCAAGGAGGAGAAAUCCAAAAUACAGAAACAUAUGAAUGGAUUGAAGGACUCCAAGCAGCCAAAGGUGCUGCACAUUGUACCUGUGGAGCCAAAGAGAGGGGAUAGCUAUGUGCAGAAAGCACUGGCUGAAUCCAGGAACUCUGCAGAGCAGAAGGAACUGGAAAUGCCUUCAGCUGAGAGCCCUGCCUCCCUUGAGAC
This 611-nucleotide long non-coding RNA is filed under the name Chloebia gouldiae (Gouldian finch). RNAcentral describes it as "Erythrura gouldiae (Gouldian finch) lncRNA (ENSEGOG00005017718.1)". The record is from RNAcentral. Lineage: Eukaryota; Metazoa; Chordata; Aves; Passeriformes; Passeridae.